AUAAACGCUGGCGGCGCACAUAAGACAUGCAAGUUGAACGGACUUAAUCGAAAUAUUUCUAUUUUGAAGCGGUUAGUGGCGGACUGGUGAGUAACGCGUAAGGAACCUGCCUAUUAGAGGGGAAUAACAGUGAGAAAUCAUUGCUAAUACCGCAUAUGCCAUAGAUAUCACAUGAUAACAGUGGGAAAGGAGCAAUCCGCUAAUAGAUGGCCUUGCGUCUGAUUAGAUAGUUGGUGGGGUAACGGCCUACCAAGUCGACGAUCAGUAGCCGGACUGAGAGGUUGAACGGCCACAUUGGGACUGAGAUACGGCCCAGACUCCUACGGGAGGCAGCAGGCGGGAAUAUUGCGCAAUGGAGGAAAAUCUGACGCAGUGACGCCGCGUAUAGGAAGAAGGUUUUCGGAUUGUAAACUAUUGUCGUUAGGGAAGAGAAAGGACAGUACCUAAGGAGGAAGCUCCGGCUAACUACGUG
Molecule: ribosomal RNA, 472 nt
Filed under: uncultured bacterium
Lineage: Bacteria
Description: partial 16S ribosomal RNA
Rfam family: Bacterial small subunit ribosomal RNA
Source: RNAcentral